This 497-nucleotide ribosomal RNA is filed under the name uncultured bacterium. RNAcentral's name for it is "partial 16S ribosomal RNA". It matches the Rfam family "Bacterial small subunit ribosomal RNA", at positions 28 to 507 of the family's 1533-position model. The record is from RNAcentral.
GAUGAACGCUGGCGGCGUGCCUAAUACAUGCAAGUCGAGCGAACAGAUGAGGAGCUUGCUCCUCUGACGUUAGCGGCGGACGGGUGAGUAACACGUGGAUAACCUACCUAUAAGACUGGGAUAACUUCGGGAAACCGGAGCUAAUACCGGAUAAUAUAUUGAACCGCAUGGUUCAAUAGUGAAAGACGGUUUUGCUGUCACUUAUAGAUGGAUCCGCGCCGCAUUAGCUAGUUGGUAAGGUAACGGCUUACCAAGGCAACGAUGCGUAGCCGACCUGAGAGGGAGAUCGGCCACACUGGAACUGAGACACGGUCCAGACUCCGACGGUGGGCAGCAGUCGGGAAUCUUCCGCAAUGGGCGAAAGCGUGACGGAGCAACGCCGCGUGAGUGAUGAUGGUCUUCGGAUCGUAAAGCUCUGUUAUUAGGGAAGAACAAAUGUGUAAGUAACUGUGCACGUCUUGACGGUACCUAAUCAGAAAGCCCCGGCUAACUACGUG